Molecule: ribosomal RNA, 485 nt
Filed under: uncultured bacterium
Lineage: Bacteria
Description: partial 16S ribosomal RNA
Rfam family: Bacterial small subunit ribosomal RNA
Source: RNAcentral
AGUGAACGCUGGCGGCGUGCUUAACACAUGCAAGUCGAACGAGAACGGAAUAUAGCUUGCUAUAUUUGUCAGCUAAGUGGCGCACGGGUGAGUAAUGUAUAGAUAACCUGCCCUUAAGAAAGGAAUAACAGUUGGAAACGACUGCUAAUGCCCUAUAUGCCUUUAAUACAUAAGUAUGCAAGGGAAACGCUUUAGUGCUUAAGGAUGGGUCUGUAUGGUAUCAGCUUGUUGGUGAGGUAAUGGCUCACCAAGGCUAUGACGCCUAACUGGUUUGAGAGGAUGAUCAGUCACACUGGAACUGAGACACGGUCCAGGCUCCUACGGGAGGCAGCAGGGGGGAAUAUUGCACAAUGGACGAAAGUCUGAUGCAGCAACGCCGCGUGGAGGAUGACACAUUUCGGUGCGUAAACUCCUUUUAUAUAGGAAGAUAAUGACGGUACUAUAUGAAUAAGCACCGGCUAACUCCGUGCCAGCAGCCGCGGUAA